AUGUCGUGCUUAUCCCUUGUUCCCAUCCUCCUGUUUCUCAAUUCCCUCAUUCCUGCCCUCACACAAGCCACUGCUGAAAAACAUUCCAUUCGCAACUCAUUAUUUUUUCAGUCUGACAACGAUUGUCACUUUGGCUCCCCUAAGUCAAAAAUAAAAUACCAGCUUUUUUUCUUCUUCUUUUUAUCCCACUUCAUAUUCUCCAGCUUUGUCCUAAGACAUCUUCAUUACUCACAGUUCUUCAUGUCACAGGAAGGUGGGCUGCUUUUAUUGCAAUGGAUUUGGAAACACAACCUCUCUCUCUCCUCUGGAGCAGACCGUGUUUCUGGCCUGAAACACGAAGGUGACCCGAGGCCGAACUAG
Long non-coding RNA from Cyprinus carpio carpio, 360 nucleotides. The record is from Ensembl. NCBI's taxonomy places the organism in Eukaryota, Metazoa, Chordata, Actinopteri, Cypriniformes, Cyprinidae.